This 454-nucleotide long non-coding RNA is filed under the name Capsella grandiflora. RNAcentral's name for it is "long non-coding RNA (CGRA_LNC000725)". Lineage: Eukaryota; Viridiplantae; Streptophyta; Magnoliopsida; Brassicales; Brassicaceae. The record is from RNAcentral.
GAAAUUGUAGAGGGUGAAAAGACUGAAGUUGAGAACAAAGAGGGAGAAGUUGUGGCGGACAAGAAAGAUCCCAUGGAAGUGGAUACCUCUGAGUUGGAGAAGAAGACUGAGAGUGGAGCUGAGAAACCUUCCAAAGUUGAAGGCCUAAAGGACACUGAAAUGAAAGAACCGCAGGAAGUUGUUGCUGAGGGUGAUGGAGAGAAGAAGCCUACAGAGGAAGAGACCGAGAACAAGGGCAGCAUGACAACAGAAGCUAACGGAGAACAGAAUCUUAAUGCAGAUGCUGAAGCAAAUAAGGAAAAAGAAUCUGAUGCAAAGAAGAUAGAAGCUGAGGCAAACAAGGUGAAUGAAACUGAUGAAGCUGAUGAGAAGAAGACAGAAGCUGAGGCAAAUAAGGAGAAUGAAACUCAAGCACUUGAUGAGAAGAAGACAGACGCUGUAGCAAAUAAGGAGA